GGGUUGUGAGGUUAAGCGACUAAGCGUACACGGUGGAUGCCCUGGCAGUCAGAGGCGAUGAAGGACGUGCUAAUCUGCGAUAAGCGUCGGUGAGGUGAUAUGAACCGUUAUAACCGGCGAUUUCCGAAUGGGGAAACCCAGUGUGUUUCGACACACUAUCAUUAACUGAAUCCAUAGGUUAAUGAGGCGAACCGGGGGAACUGAAACAUCUAAGUACCCCGAGGAAAAGAAAUCAACCGAGAUUCCCCCAGUAGCGGCGAGCGAACGGGGAGGAGCCCAGAGCCUGAAUCAGUGUGUGUGUUAGUGGAAGCGUCUGGAAAGGCGCGCGAUACRGGGUGMCAGCCCCGUACACAAAAAUGCACAUCAUGUGAGCUCGAUGAGUAGGGCGGGACACGUAGUAUCCUGUCAGAAUAUGGGGGGACCAUCCUCCAAGGCUAAAUACUCCUGACUGACCGAUAGUGAACSAGUACCGUGAGGGAAAGGCGAAAAGAACCCCGGCGRGGGGAGUGAAAAAGAACCUGAAACCGUGUACGUACAAGCAGUGGGAGCCUCUUUAUGGGGUGACUGCGUAYCUUUUGUAUAAUGGGUCAGCGACUUAUAUUCUGUAGCAAGGUUAACCGAAUAGGGGAGCCGAAGGGAAACCGAGUCUUAACUGGGCGUUAAGUUGCAGGGUAUAGACCCGAAACCCGGUGAUCUAGCCAUGGGCAGGUUGAAGGUUGGGUAACACUAACUGGAGGACCGAACCGACUACUGUUGAAAAAUUAGCGGAUGACUUGUGGCUGG
RNAcentral lists this ribosomal RNA (783 nucleotides) under Escherichia coli. Its description in RNAcentral is "bacterial LSU rRNA". It matches the Rfam family "Bacterial large subunit ribosomal RNA", at positions 1 to 819 of the family's 2925-position model. The record is from RNAcentral. Lineage: Bacteria; Pseudomonadati; Pseudomonadota; Gammaproteobacteria; Enterobacterales; Enterobacteriaceae.